RNAcentral lists this ribosomal RNA (492 nucleotides) under uncultured bacterium. RNAcentral describes it as "partial 16S ribosomal RNA". It matches the Rfam family "Bacterial small subunit ribosomal RNA", at positions 29 to 507 of the family's 1533-position model. The record is from RNAcentral.
AGUGAACGCUGGCGGUAGGCCUAACACAUGCAAGUCGAACGGCAGCACAGUAAGAGCUUCCUCGUACGUGUGGCGAGUGGCGGGCGGGUGAGAUGUACAUCGGAAUCUACUUUUUCGUGGGGUAUCGCAUAGGGAAACUUACUCUAAUACCGCAUACUACCUGCGGGUGAAAGCGGGGGCUCUUGGGACUUUGCUCGAUGGGCUGCCGCGAUGUCGGAUUAGCUAGUUGGCGGGGUAAAGGCCCACCAAGGCGACGACCCGUAGCUGGUCUGAGAGGAUGAUCAGCCACACUGGAACUGAGACACGGCCCAGACUCCUACGGGAGGCAGCAGUGGGGAAUAUUGGACAAUGGGCGCAAGCCUGAUCCAGCCAUACCGCGUGAGUGAAGAAGGCCUUCGGGUUGUAAAGCCCUUUUGUCGGGAAAGAAAAGCAGCCCGUUAAUACAGCGCGGUGCUGACGGUACCAGAAGAAUAAGCACCGGCUAACUUCGUG